UACGUAGGUGGCAAGCGUUGUCCGGAUUUACUGGGCGUAAAGAGCGCGCAGGCGGUCGUUCAAGUCGCGUGUGAAAGCCCCUGGCUCAACUGGGGAGGGUCACGCGAUACUGAUCGACUCGAAGGCAGGAGAGGGUAGUGGAAUUCCCGGUGUAGUGGUGAAAUGCGUAGAUAUCGGGAGGAACACCAGUGGCGAAGGCGGCUGCCUGGGCCAGUUCUGACGCUGAGGCGCGAAAGCGUGGGGAGCAAACAGG
Molecule: ribosomal RNA, 253 nt
Filed under: uncultured bacterium
Lineage: Bacteria
Description: partial 16S ribosomal RNA
Rfam family: Bacterial small subunit ribosomal RNA
Source: RNAcentral